This 545-nucleotide long non-coding RNA is filed under the name Mytilus galloprovincialis (Mediterranean mussel). Lineage: Eukaryota; Metazoa; Mollusca; Bivalvia; Mytilida; Mytilidae. The record is from RNAcentral.
GACGGACUAAUGACAUAAAAUAAAACAAAAAAAUGUUACAAUACAAAAUCGUUAAUACAUUCAUCAAGCGUGAGGUCGAUGUCUUUGAGAGCUUCCACAGCAAGCGGAAGUACGCACACAAGUCCACGAAAUAAUGACUGCUCCCGAGGAAGUAUCUUUCUUGCCCAGACGGGAUGAAUUACAAUUUUGAGCGGAGCUUCCGGUUUCAUUAAUUCUUGUCCAAUGUUGGCCACAGACCACAAUUAAUUCCUCUAUCAGUUCUUUAUAACCUUUUGCAUCAUUAAAAAAAUUGCACCAUGCACUUUUGUCAAAUUUUUUGUGUGUGUAAUGUAUAGUCCUAGUCCAAAUAUAUAUCCAAAAUGCAGAAAGAUUGUAGCAAUCACUUUUACAAAUUUAGCCAAUACACAUCCAUACCCCUAUUGACAAGUCAAGAGAUGUUCCGAAAACUGUAAAUAUUACCUUUUUGCACUUGGCCUAAUCACUCAUUCCAAAUCAAAAUCAGUUAAAAUACAACAUCCAAAAAUUCAUUUCACCUCUCUUUAUUC